GAAAUAAAAACGAGAAAGUCAAACAAAGUGCAAAAGAAAAACGGAAGCAGAGCAUAGAAAACAAAGAAAGCAGAGCAGCGAUUGGCAGAAGAGGACAUCUUUUUGUUCUUGGACUUCAAUGGCUCUUCUCAACUUUCAUUUGUCUACCCCACCCCCACAUUUCUCUCACUCUCCUUCUAAAGCACCCUCACUCUCUCUUCGUCCCACUUGUUCAAUCACCCACAAAACCCCAUCUAAAUUCUCCAUCAUUCAUGCCUCAAGAAAUUCGGGUCUCUUUCGGGUUCGGGCAAUGACACCCUCGUUCGGGUCCCGGUUAGAAGAGACUGUUAGAAAGACUGUUUCUGAUAACCCUGUUGUUGUUUACUCUAAAUCUUGGUGUUCGUAUUCGACUGAGGUGAAACAAUUGUUCAAGAGGCUUGGUGUGCAACCAUUAGUUAUUGAAUUGGAUCAAUUGGGUCCCCAAGGACCGCAACUACAGAAGGUGCUGGAAAGACUGACCGGACAGCAUACGGUGCCAAAUGUUUUUAUUGGUUGACAAGUUUAAUCCUCAGCUGAACUUUGCCCUGAAUAAUAGGCUUCGACAUUGUCUAUAUUAUAAGUAGGGCUGCCAAAAGGGCGGGGGAGUGGGAGGGGUCAGACCUGGCAAUUUGGUACACGACACAAAAUGUUGGUGUUUGGGUUUCAAUUAUUGAUACUCCCUCCGUCCCCCUGAGUAGUAUACAUUGGGGGACGGGGACGCGCCACGGACUUUAAUGCUCCUGCAAAGUGUAGUUGUGCAAUCGAUUUUUAAAAUUUUUCUUUUCUGAAUUGAAGUUUGGAUGUUAUAUUUUUAUACAGAAAAAGAAAAUCGCAAAAAUAAUUUACAGAAUUAUAUUUAUAAAAGCAUUGAGAUGCGUGUCGAGCAAUUAAAAAGAAACGUAUAUAAUUAAAUGGGACAGAGGGAGUACACAAACACAAAAGUACACGAACACAAAAAUACACGGUAAAUUUAGUGUUGGUUAUGGGUUUUCAUUUCAUAUACACGAAAGUACACGAUAUAAAAAUAGUUUUAAAUUUAUAAGUAGAUUUUAACGUGAAAACAUAUACAUAAUAUAUAUAUAUAUAAAUCUACACAUCCAUUCGUAAUUGUAUGCAAAUAUAAAUUUUUAAUAUAUAUUUCAUAAAAUAGUACAUAAAAAUGUAUAUUUCAGUUGCAUUUUAUAAAUUUAUUUAUAUUAAAUGUACACGAAAGUGACACGAAACUGGCUUUUAGCUUUCUUCUGUUGGACGAAGAUUCAAUAUCAGACCAUGGGUUUCAGUUAAAGUGUAGGUAAAUGUGAUUGUAUCCCUACUUUGCUGUGACGAGAAACUUAUCCCCUUGUACUUCAAAAAUAUUAUGUCUGGCUUUUUGGGUUUUGCAUCAGGUUUUACGUAUGUUCAUUGGUAUUUAUUUCACCAUUUGAUAUCUAUGAUGGGAUUAGAAUAAGGGAUUGGUUUUUAAUAUCAUAUAUACAUAGAGCAAGAUGGCUGUCAAAGUCAUUGUCUAGCAUUGUUAAUAAGAAAAUGUUUUUGUAAUUAGGUUUCUAUAUAGGCGUGCAUAAAGCAUGGCUGAAGUUUACAUUUGUUAUUAGACAAAUUAGCAACAUCCAGUUUACAUUUUAGUCUUUGUUUAAUAUAUCCACAUAUGAUCAAAAAUGAAUUAUUGCUGAAGUUCUUUCUGGUCUUCUGUACUCUUGAGCAGGGGCUAAACACAUUGGAGGUUGUACAGAUACUAUCAAACUACACCGGAAAGGAGAGCUUGAACCUUUGCUGUCAGAAGCUUGUGGCAAAAAGGCAGAGAGCUAAUUUUCAAAGCUUAUUGUCAUUUGUCAAUUGUAUUCUUCAUUAUCCCCCAUAUGUUAGAUAUCAUAACUAAGUUAAGACAUAUUCCCUUGUCUUUCAAAAAUAGAAUAUGUACACAGAAUAAUCAUUUAUUGGUAUGACAUCUUUACCCAUAUUCACAUA
This is an RNA transcript of Daucus carota subsp. sativus, 1983 nucleotides long. It is a transcript of the gene named monothiol glutaredoxin-S10, with no coding region annotated. Lineage: Eukaryota; Viridiplantae; Streptophyta; Magnoliopsida; Apiales; Apiaceae. The record is from RefSeq and is a predicted model, not a curated record. The transcript has 5 exons.